AAGGCAAAAGGGCCAACAAGUGCUAAGCAUCUCUCGGGGAACUCCUUCAAGACUGUUGGAAGACCAUUUCAGUUUUGAUGCCUUCAGUGUGAAUCUACAAUUUUCAGUCAUGAAAAUAAAGAAAACUCUUUGAAUGAGAAGGUGUGUCCAAACUUUUGGUCUGUACUGUAUAUAUAUAUAUA
This is a long non-coding RNA of Carassius carassius (crucian carp), 182 nucleotides long. RefSeq lists it as uncharacterized. The transcript has 2 exons. Lineage: Eukaryota; Metazoa; Chordata; Actinopteri; Cypriniformes; Cyprinidae. The record is from RefSeq and is a predicted model, not a curated record.